RNAcentral lists this ribosomal RNA (487 nucleotides) under uncultured bacterium. Its description in RNAcentral is "partial 16S ribosomal RNA". It matches the Rfam family "Bacterial small subunit ribosomal RNA", at positions 27 to 507 of the family's 1533-position model. The record is from RNAcentral.
GAUUGAACGCUGGCGGCAUGCCUUACCCAUGCAAGUCGAACGGCAGCCCGGGUGCUUGCCCCUGGUGGCGAGUGGCGAACGGGUGAGUAAUACAUCGGAACAUGUCCUGUAGUGGGGGAUAGCCCGGCGAAAGCCGGAUUAAUACCGCAUACGAUCUACGGAUGAAAGCGGGGGACCUUCGGGCCUCGCGCUAUAGGGUUGGCCGAUGGCUGAUUAGCUAGUUGGUGGGGUAAAGGCCUACCAAGGCGACGAUCAGUAGCUGGUCUGAGAGGACGACCAGCCACACUGGGACUGAGACACGGCCCAGACUCCUACGGGAGGCAGCAGUGGGGAAUUUUGGACAAUGGGCGAAAGCCUGAUCCAGCAAUGCCGCGUGUGUGAAGAAGGCCUUCGGGUUGUAAAGCACUUUUGUCCGGAAAGAAAUCCUUGGCCCUAAUACGGUCGGGGGAUGACGGUACCGGAAGAAUAAGCACCGGCUAACUACGUG